This 447-nucleotide ribosomal RNA is filed under the name uncultured bacterium. RNAcentral describes it as "bacterial SSU rRNA". It matches the Rfam family "Bacterial small subunit ribosomal RNA", at positions 355 to 825 of the family's 1533-position model. The record is from RNAcentral.
UCGGGAAUCUUGGGCAAUGGGCGAAAGCCUGACCCAGCAACGCCGCGUGAAGGAUGAAGUAUUUCGGUAUGUAAACUUCGAAAGAAUAGGAAGAAUAAAUGACGGUACUAUUUAUAAGGUCCGGCUAACUACGUGCCAGCAGCCGCGGUAAUACGUAGGGACCAAGCGUUGUUCGGAUUUACUGGGCGUAAAGGGCGCGUAGGCGGCGUGGCAAGUCAUCUGUGAAAUCUCCGGGCUUAACUCGGAACGGUCAGAUGAUACUGCUUUGCUAGAGUGCAGAAGGGGCAAUCGGAAUUCUUGGUGUAGCGGUGAAAUGCGUAGAUAUCAAGAGGAACACCUGAAGUGAAGACGGGUUGCUGGGCUGACACUGACGCUGAGGCGCGAAAGCCAGGGGAGCAAACGGGAUUAGAUACCCCAGUAGUCCCUGAGCGGGCUGGCAAGGCGCAU